Molecule: ribosomal RNA, 866 nt
Filed under: Nata vernicosa
Lineage: Eukaryota; Metazoa; Mollusca; Gastropoda; Stylommatophora; Rhytididae
Description: partial 16S ribosomal RNA
Rfam family: Archaeal large subunit ribosomal RNA (bases 225-866)
Source: RNAcentral
GAAGAGUUUAGGAGCUAUAUAAUAGCUUUUUUUGGAAAAAAUCCUCUUUUUGUAGCAAAAAAAAGUAAUGACAUUUAUAUAGAAGUGAAAGACUUUCAUCUACUCUGAUAUCUGGAUUUUAAGUACAAGUAUUUAGUACUAUUUAAGACAAUUUUAUAGUGUUAAGAUUAUAAAAGCUAAGAGAUAUGAUUAUGCUCCCCUCCUCUUGGUUGGUUAACCCCUUCCGUUAUAUGGGGGAUUACUCUUAUUAAUCUUCCUUUUUUCCUUAGGUGUACCCCCUUAAAUAUACUUAGUGCUUAAAUAUUAGUAUAGAUAAUGUAAAAAUUAGUAUUUAUUUUAAAAAUCUACUAAAAGGAACUCGGCAACCCCAUGGUCAUCUGUUUAUCAAAAACAUAGCUUUUAGAUCAUAUAUUAUAAGUACACUCUGCCCCGUGUGGGGGUCCUCCUCAUCAACGGCCGCAGUACUUUGACUGUGCUAAGGUAGCAUAAUAAAUUGGCUUUUAAUUGAAGUCUGGAAUGAAAGAGACAAUGAACCAUUAGCUGUCUUUAAGUAGGUUUAUGUAAGUUACUUAAAAGGUGAAAACUCCUUUAAUAAUCCUAUAGACAAGAAGACCCUAAGAGCUUUCUUUUUUAUUUUGUUGGGGCGACAGGGUGACAUUUUAAACUCACCAGUAAGUAAUAACCACACACCAUUUAACCUAAAUAUACAGCACAAGCUACCUUAGGGAUAACAGCAUAAUAUUAAGUUUGCUUAUGACCUCGAUGUUGGAUUAGGGAGGCCUUGUAUUAGCCGUAUAAGUUAUCUUGUUCUGUUCGAACACAAACCCCUACAUGAUCUGAGUUCAGACCGGCGUAAGCCAGGUCAG